RNAcentral lists this ribosomal RNA (434 nucleotides) under uncultured Oscillospiraceae bacterium. RNAcentral's name for it is "partial 16S ribosomal RNA". It matches the Rfam family "Bacterial small subunit ribosomal RNA", at positions 341 to 792 of the family's 1533-position model. Lineage: Bacteria; Bacillati; Bacillota; Clostridia; Eubacteriales; Oscillospiraceae. The record is from RNAcentral.
ACGGAAGGCGGCAGUGAGGGAUAUUGCACAAUGGGCGAAAGCCUGAUGCAGCAACGCCGCGUGAGGGAUGACGGUUUUCGGAUUGUAAACCUCUGUCUUUGGUGAUGAUAAUGACAUUAGCCGAGGAGGAAGCCACGGCUAACUACGUGCCAGCAGCCGCGGUAAUACGUAGGUGGCGAGCGUUGUCCGGAAUUACUGGGUGUAAAGGGAGCGCAGGCGGGAAAGCAAGUCAGCGGUGAAAUGUAUGGGCUUAACCCAUGAACUGCCGUUGAAACUGUUUUUCUUGAGUGGAGUAGAGGUAGGCGGAAUUCCGAGUGUAGCGGUGAAAUGCGUAGAUAUUCGGAGGAACACCAGUGGCGAAGGCGGCUUACUGGGCUCUAACUGACGCUGAGGCUCGAAAGUGUGGGGAGCAAACAGGAUUAGAUACCCUGGUA